RNAcentral lists this ribosomal RNA (494 nucleotides) under uncultured microorganism. Its description in RNAcentral is "bacterial SSU rRNA". It matches the Rfam family "Bacterial small subunit ribosomal RNA", at positions 9 to 485 of the family's 1533-position model. The record is from RNAcentral.
GAGUUUGAUCCUGGCUCAGGAUGAACGCUGGCGGCGUGCCUAAUACAUGCAAGUCGAGCGAACGGACGAGAAGCUUGCUUCUCUGAUGUUAGCGGCGGACGGGUGAGUAACACGUGGGUAACCUACCUAUAAGACUGGGAUAACUCCGGGAAACCGGGGCUAAUACCGGAUAACAUAUGAAACCGCAUGGUUUCAUGAUGAAAGGCGGUCUUGCUGUCACUUAUAGAUGGAUCCGCGCUGCAUUAGCUAGUUGGUAAGGUAACGGCUUACCAAGGCAACGAUGCAUAGCCGACCUGAGAGGGUGAUCGGCCACACUGGAACUGAGACACGGUCCAGACUCCUACGGGAGGCAGCAGUAGGGAAUCUUCCGCAAUGGGCGAAAGCCUGACGGAGCAACGCCGCGUGAGUGAUGAAGGUCUUCGGAUCGUAAAACUCUGUUAUUAGGGAAGAACAUAUGUGUAAGUAACUGUGCACAUCUUGACGGUACCUAAUCA